Xiphias gladius (swordfish) is the source of this 1224-nucleotide long non-coding RNA. RefSeq lists it as uncharacterized. The transcript has 3 exons. The record is from RefSeq and is a predicted model, not a curated record. Lineage: Eukaryota; Metazoa; Chordata; Actinopteri; Istiophoriformes; Xiphiidae.
AGACAGAGACAGCUGCGGCUCCACGAUCAGCCAUCAGGGGGCAGUGCUGGGCUUCAUUCAGCCACUCAAUGGAACUGUAACGUUAAGCAGCAGCACAGUUCAUCUGAGAGAUUCAUCUUUAUAAACCUCAUCAUGGCCCCCCUCCCUGGAGAAGCAAACAGUUGUGUGUCUUUUCACCAGCUGGGUCUUUUGUGUGAGAGGACUUCAUUUCCUCCUCGCUGCCUGUCAGCUGCUGUCAGGCAGAGAGUGGGACAGCUGAACCCGCAGCAGCUGAGAGACACCUACAGAUCAGGCGAGGUGUCACAAGUUGCCUGGGAUCACAUUUUGUCCUUCUCUCAUGACGCUUACGAUAUUGUGGUUUGGUUGGCUGUUCAGCAGCGGCUACAAAGAUGUGAAACUGAACAAGGAGACUUUCACUCUCGGCUCUCAUUUGCCCUCAGAUGGGAUCAGCUGCGUCAAAACCGAGGUCAGCAUGAGAUAAAGCCAUGCACUUCCACAGAGGCAUCCGGCAUAUCUGAAGCAGAGUUCACGUGGAAAUCUCUGAGAAAGGAGUCACGGCCAAGCGCCUCCAGACAGUGCAGGCCUCGGGCAAAGUACGGCAGGAGACAGCUGGAGUCCUUCUCUACUGAGGAAUCAACAAGCUUAUUACGGGUCAUCAGUAAAAACACGUAGAUGCUGACUUCUCUGAAUGACCAAAAUGAUGACAUCUCCGUGUAUUGCAAAAAUCCUGAACGCAAACGCAGAAGUUGGCAACACACGUACUCCCACAUAUUCAGCAUGAAGUGGACACUUUACAGAUAUCUUAUUAUCAUUUCUUAUAAUCAUACAGGUCAAACAUCGGGGUCUCACCGGCCUCAGCAUCAGAAAUAUACAACCACUAAAUCAUUUCAAGGUUACCACGGAAUGUUUCUUUUUGCUCAUUUGAACAGAGACAACAAAAAUCCAUGAUGUGAUGAUUGAUGACAUGAAGGCGGAACUUGUAAUUCAUGGUCUAUUACUGGUCUGAGAUUUUAUCCAAAUGUAAACAUGUGAUGUUGUUCUUUGUGUACUGAGUAACCAUCUGUUGUACUUUGUUUUGUCUUAUGUGGAGUAAGCAAGUAUUAAAAAAAACAGUGGAGGGGUAAGACAGUACAAAGCUUCUCUGUUUCAGAAUUACAUACCCUGCAGGCUCUUCUUCUGCCUGGCUGUUCUGGUAGUUUCGCCUCGAUGUGGCGGGAGAGGCUG